AAAUUGAAGAGUUUGAUCAUGGCUCAGAUUGAACGCUGGCGGCAGGCCUAACACAUGCAAGUCGAACGGUAACAGGAAACAGCUUGCUGUUUCGCUGACGAGUGGCGGACGGGUGAGUAAUGUCUGGGAAACUGCCUG
RNAcentral lists this ribosomal RNA (138 nucleotides) under Escherichia coli. RNAcentral's name for it is "partial 16S ribosomal RNA". It matches the Rfam family "Bacterial small subunit ribosomal RNA", at positions 1 to 132 of the family's 1533-position model. The record is from RNAcentral. RNAcentral also lists the same sequence under 2 other names. Lineage: Bacteria; Pseudomonadati; Pseudomonadota; Gammaproteobacteria; Enterobacterales; Enterobacteriaceae.